GGCUUGAGAAUCAUUUUCAAUUUGCUGGCUGCCACCGCAGGGAGAGGGCAGCGGCGGGAGAGGCUUCUCAGCAACCUGUUUCAUGGCUUUAUUUUCGCAACCGAGGGUCUUGCCAAAGAAAGAGAGAAACGUCCUUUAAUUAUAACUUUUCCUCUUGUUGGCGGUCUUGUUGGCAAAAACAAUGGCUUGCUGUAAAUGUGAUGCCUUUAUGACUCUUUUCAAGUCGCGUUCCUUUUGUGGAUGAGAUGGGUUGUUUAUGAGAUUCAGCGUUCUGGAGUUGAGCCAGUGACACAUGCAAUGCAAAGGGAAGACAAACUUGAAUUAUGUCUUUUAAAAAAAACAUUUCUAAAGCCCUUUUCUUACCAAAAGUAACUUUCUUCUCUCCCCCCCCCCCCACCGCCCCACUAUGCAAUCUGUGGAAAAUAAGCCUGUCAACAUUGUUUAGGAUCUCAUCUGUGUCUUUAGGGGAACACGAGGUAACGUUGGAUUUUUCUCCCUUUCCAAAGCUUCUGGGAGCUAUCAGGAAAGUGACAGUGUGUGGUAGAAAAGCUACUGAAGAUGGUGAAAUUAUUCUCCUUGAUGAGGGUACUCGUCUUGUCCAAAUAAUUCUAUUGCCUGGGAGAUCCAGAUGGAGUAGGAUGUCUUAGGUCAAGGGUAUUCAAGCUUUUGGAAUUCUGACACACUCAAUAAAAUGGCUGCCACAGCUUUACCUUCCAACAUAUAGUAAAGAUCCCUGUGCUUUGGUGACAGGUGGUACCAAAACAACAUUUUUUAAAAUCUGCUCAGUCAAUAAAAUCUCCAGUCAGAAGUUUUGCUAGUCAAAAGCUGCACCCAGUCCACAGAUUUUCUAAAAAAAACACUGUGUGAAUGCCAAGAAAGGUAUUGCCGGGUACCUUGGCACCCACAGGCAACAUGUUUCCCCCUGAGGGCCUUUAAGGGGGAUCCCCCCAAGGGAAUUCUGUCAGGAACAGCUAUACCUGUUGGCUCGCACUUCUCACCUUGAUGUCCCAUAAUGCUUUGCUGGUCCUCUCUGUUGCAAUCCAUACUUUCUGCUUCUCAGCUGCUUGAUUUGCACUGUCCCAAAUAGCAGCCCCAACAAACCACUGAGGCACUCCCAUCCCAUUUUCAAAUUAUCUUGAGUUCCAAAGGUCAGGAUUGGGGAUUUGCGGCUUAGCUGAUGAUAUCCUGCGUGGCACUGAGAAAUCGCACCUCUUUUUGCUCAAGAUCUGUCCUGUGGCUUUCAAUGAGGCUACUCUAAAGUAGCUGAGCUGAGGGCAUUGCUCUCAACAGGACUACUCAGGAGUAGCCAAGGUGAGAACAUUGCAGUCUUGUGUAUCCAGUGGACCUCCCUGAAAUGACCGACUGUGAACUCUGCCCAUAAAGAUGGUCACAAUGCUCUAGAACAAAUGACAAGAAUAAUAACCAUUCCAAUCAUUGUGAGGUGUAUGUUCUGCAAGGACUGUUGUGGAAGAGAGAAGCACUUAGUUUGCCCUAGAGUGGGUUUUGCUCUAUGAUUUCCUUCUUCAAUGUAGUCUGUAAUGGGGGGGGGAGGGGCCUCUGUCAUAUUUUGCAUUACAUAAUGCCAACAGGCCAACUCCAGAAUGAAAUGUUUCUUUUUAAUGAAGUCACACACAUUUCUUUUUUGAACUUCACUGGCAGUCCUACUAUAUUCCUGCCUAUAUAUGUAUAAAGGAAACACUUAUUUGUUUGAGAGAUUCUGGCGUUUUGUUUUUUUAUUAAAAAAAACACGAUGUAGCUCAAUGGGAUGGCUCUGAGGUUAAAAAAGAGAAACCUUUUUAUGUUUAACAAUAUUGUGUGGUUGAAAAUCCUUCCGUAUAAAUUUUGCACAUUCUUUCUCUUGCAUGUUCAACCUCUUAAGUUCUACAGCUGUUUGGAACAAGCAGUGAUGUAUUUUUUUUUUGUAAAUUGUUUUUUUGACACUGAAUUAUAAAUAAAAUGUUCAAAUAUUAUAAA
Sphaerodactylus townsendi is the source of this 1974-nucleotide long non-coding RNA. RefSeq lists it as uncharacterized. Lineage: Eukaryota; Metazoa; Chordata; Lepidosauria; Squamata; Sphaerodactylidae. The record is from RefSeq and is a predicted model, not a curated record. The transcript is spliced from 2 exons.